AUACGUAGGGUGCAAGCGUUAAUCGGAAUUACUGGGCGUGAAGCGUGCGCAGGCGGUUCGGAAAGAAGGAUGUGAAAUCCCAGGGCUCAACCUUGGAACUGCAUUCUUAACUACCGAACUAGAGUAUGUCAGAGGGGGGUAGAAUUCCGCGUGUAGCAGUGAAAUGCGUAGAUAUGCGGAGGAAUACCGAUGGCGAAGGCAGCCCCCUGGGAUAAUACUGACGCUCAUGCACGAAAGCGUGGGUAGCAAACAGGAUUAGAUACCCUGGUAGUCCACGCCCUAAACGAUGUCAACUAGCUGUUGGGCCCUUCGGGGCUUAGUAGCGUAGCUAACGCGUGAAGUCGACCGCCUGGGGAGUACGGUCGCAAGAUUAAAACUCAAAUGAAUUGACGGGG
This 395-nucleotide ribosomal RNA is filed under the name uncultured bacterium. Its description in RNAcentral is "partial 16S ribosomal RNA". It matches the Rfam family "Bacterial small subunit ribosomal RNA", at positions 523 to 918 of the family's 1533-position model. The record is from RNAcentral.